This 69-nucleotide transfer RNA is filed under the name Metacarcinus magister (Dungeness crab). Its description in RNAcentral is "tRNA-Gln". The record is from RNAcentral. Lineage: Eukaryota; Metazoa; Arthropoda; Malacostraca; Decapoda; Cancridae.
UGUGUAUUAGUGUAAAGAGCACAAAAAGGUUUGAUCUUUUUAGAAGAGGUGAGAUUCCUUUAUGCACAA